CAUUACCCGUAAUUGUUUUGUAAAAUAUCUUAAAUAACAUCAUCUAUUUGAGCUUCGUGUGUUUUACUACAUAAAAGAAUUUGACUUUAAACAGUUAGAUAAGUUUUAGAGAAGUUUUACGUGCAUUUUAAAGUGAAAUCUUUAAAAUUUAUGUUACUUUAUGUGAAUGAUUUUUGAUACCGUUGGAUUUAAGAAAAUACAAGAUACUAGUAAUUCACACGGCUGCUACGGAUCCAUUGUGAUACUGCUAAAUCUACAACACUGCGAUAUUUAAAUAUGGGAGAUCUGCUGGGAAAUCUACCGGAAAAUCUGCCUGAAAAUUUGGGGCAAACAACUGGACUACAAAACAAUCUUACCGAUUAUCCAUGGCGACAUGUUCCCAUUUGGGACGGUGAUCUUGAAAAUAGGCUUAUUAUAGAAGUUAAGGAAGAGCAUUCGAACAGUCGUCAACAUGUCUUGAUUCUAGGUCCAGUGGGAGCAGGAAAAACCAGUUUUAUCAAGCGAAUAUUAAGCCUUUUUCAAAGAUACAGAUGUUCA
Ruditapes philippinarum (Manila clam) is the source of this 537-nucleotide long non-coding RNA. RefSeq lists it as uncharacterized. The transcript is spliced from 3 exons. Lineage: Eukaryota; Metazoa; Mollusca; Bivalvia; Venerida; Veneridae. The record is from RefSeq and is a predicted model, not a curated record.